Molecule: ribosomal RNA, 585 nt
Filed under: Streptomyces nitrosporeus
Lineage: Bacteria; Bacillati; Actinomycetota; Actinomycetes; Kitasatosporales; Streptomycetaceae
Description: bacterial SSU rRNA
Rfam family: Bacterial small subunit ribosomal RNA
Source: RNAcentral
UUCACUUGUUGGUGGGGUGAUGGCCUACCAAGGCGACGACGGGUAGCCGGCCUGAGAGGGCGACCGGCCACACUGGGACUGAGACACGGCCCAGACUCCUACGGGAGGCAGCAGUGGGGAAUAUUGCACAAUGGGCGAAAGCCUGAUGCAGCGACGCCGCGUGAGGGAUGACGGCCUUCGGGUUGUAAACCUCUUUCAGCAGGGAAGAAGCGAAAGUGACGGUACCUGCAGAAGAAGCGCCGGCUAACUACGUGCCAGCAGCCGCGGUAAUACGUAGGGCGCAAGCGUUGUCCGGAAUUAUUGGGCGUAAAGAGCUCGUAGGCGGCUUGUCACGUCGGAUGUGAAAGCCCGGGGCUUAACCCCGGGUCUGCAUUCGAUACGGGCUAGCUAGAGUGUGGUAGGGGAGAUCGGAAUUCCUGGUGUAGCGGUGAAAUGCGCAGAUAUCAGGAGGAACACCGGUGGCGAAGGCGGAUCUCUGGGCCAUUACUGACGCUGAGGAGCGAAAGCGUGGGGAGCGAACAGGAUUAGAUACCCUGGUAGUCCACGCCGUAAACGUUGGGAACUAGGUGUUGGCGACAUUCCACG